AAAUUUGAAAUCUGGCGCAAGCCCGAGUUGUAAUUUGUAGAGGAUGCUUCUGGCCAGCGGCCGUUCUAAGUUCCUUGGAACAGGACGUCAUAGAGGGUGAGAAUCCCGUAUGUGACCGGCGCGCAGCCUUUACGUAGCUCCUUCGACGAGUCGAGUUGUUUGGGAAUGCAGCUCUAAAUGGGAGGUAAAUUUCUUCUAAAGCUAAAUACCGGCCAGAGACCGAUAGCGCACAAGUAGAGUGAUCGAAAGAUGAAAAGCACUUUGGAAAGAGAGUUAAAAAGCACGUGAAAUUGUUGAAAGGGAAGCGCUUGCAACCAGACUUCGUAGCGAUGUUCCGCUGGUCUUCUGACCGGUCUACUCAUCGUCGCGAGGCCAACAUCGUCUGGGCCCGCUGGAUAAGACCUAAGGAAUGUAGCUUCUCUUCGGGGAAGUGUUAUAGCCUGUGGUGAUGCAGUGUGGCUCGGGCGAGGUCCGCGCUUCGGCAAGGAUGUUGGCGUAAUGGUUGUCAGCGGCCCGUCUUGAAACACGGACCAAGGAGUCUAACAUCUAUGCGAGUGUUCGGGUGUCAAACCCCUACGCGUAAUGAAAGUGAACGGAGGUGGGAAGCGCAAGCUGCACCAUCGACCGAUCCUGAUGUCCUCGGAUGGAUUUGAGUAAGAGCAUAGCUGUUGGGACCCGAAAGAUGGUGAACUAUGCCUGAAUAGGGUGAAGCCAGAGGAAACUCUGG
RNAcentral lists this ribosomal RNA (727 nucleotides) under Amycosphaerella sp. Its description in RNAcentral is "eukaryotic LSU rRNA". It matches the Rfam family "Eukaryotic large subunit ribosomal RNA", at positions 111 to 867 of the family's 3401-position model. Lineage: Eukaryota; Fungi; Ascomycota; Dothideomycetes; Mycosphaerellales; Mycosphaerellaceae. The record is from RNAcentral.